GCUUUGCUUGUUUAUGUAAAACAUUGUAGUCUGUGAUCACCUGUAUCAAGCCCAAUGCCCUCUCUUAAUUCCACCUAAUUCAUGUUGCAAUUUUUGUUGUCAGUAUUCCAAAGACCUUGAGCUGUGAGACUUCCUCAAUGGGCAUCCCAACUGGUGUUGGCAGCAUCUGUCAUUACUGUUAUGAAUGAUAGAAGGUGACUGAAGAGAACUUCUCUGAGUACAUUUUAUGGAAGUGUCCACAAGUUUAGAGACAGCAGAAUACUUUUUGGAAGGGUUGAGGUCUGCACACCAGUCUUUCUGGGAAAAGGUAGAAGCAACAGAGGCUGGACGGAGGAUUUGCCCAGACAGACCUUGCAUAUUGCAAGAAACCCUCGAAGAGUGGUAAUGAUAUUUUACCCAAAGAUUAAGCUCCCAAGAUAUCAAAGUAGCAGCCAUUCUCUGCACUAACUCUGGGGAAGCUACAGUACCUGCUAAAGGAGAAGAGGCUGAAGAAAUCCCCAUAUAGUCUCAUCCGGUGAUAUGUACAUGUCCAUUUCAGGAUCUAAUUCAGUAAAUUCCUAAGUGGUUACUUGCUCUUCAGCAUCUGAAAGUGAUUUUUGGUGAAUUGCAGGAGAUUGUACACCUUAUCUGAUUGAUAUCAUCACAUCCAUGAUCUACAAAUCUAAAGGAACCAGUUCCAGUGGCACUGGAGGCUGCAUGUCAUCAGUUGGCUUGCAAUUGUUGUGGAUCUUUAUUUAAAAGGUUGGGGCUACCAGUAAAGUAACUUAUACCAUGGUGGUAUUCUCCAUUCAGAUCAAUAGUCCACACACAGAUCUGGUUCAUAAUAAUUAUAGUAAGGAUUCUCAAGAAUCCAUUGAGAGCCCAAAAGUUUCAUUCUCAAGGAAGGCUGGAACUGAGAUUAGCCUGGAUCUGACUCCCCUUCCAAUUGCUGAUCUCAGAUCCAAGAAGGAACCAAUGGGAGAUAAUAAUGGUCCUGGAACCAGGGAGAAAUAUCUAGCUAGGGAACCUAAUGGUGUCUUAGAUGCAUGUAAAAUAGGUGAAAAUUGUUCCUCCACUUUUCUACAUUUUUGCAUAGAAACAGGUUAAGUUAAAGAUACUCUCCUCUUUCUAGAGUCAAUAAUUCUCAGAUCUAAGCAUGGAGGAGGCAUUGGAUUUGAUAGGUGCACUUGAGCUCUAACCACAAUGGAACGGCCAGAACUGGCUCUGGUGUAAUUGCCUCAUUCUUCAUAAGUGGAACCUCAGGUUCCAUGGAGUUUACUAACAGAUCUAGCUCCCCUUGAUCUAGGUUAAUAGCCCUAUGUGGUGCCCAAAAUGAUUUUCUUGUGACUUUCAGGAGUCUCCACGUGGAACUCCUUUUGUUUAGUUCUAGAAUAAUUGGAUCCGGAGAGAUUCAUAUUUGAUGGAAGACUCUGCUAAAAGAGGCCAUCUCCCCUGUAGAGUCUUUCUUCCUGGAUGCCUGAACCGGUGAUUUAUGGUCUUUUUCCUGCAGUUUCUUUGAUGCCAGAUCCAGCAAAAAUUACAGUACUGAUUAUAGGUUUCAUGGUUAGUCACAGUUUUUGAUGUGCUUGGUGCUGAAGCUGGUCUAGAUUCUUUUUCAGAAUCUGUUGCCUUAUUGGAUCUGGCAGGUCUUGCUGAAAGGAUUGCUACAUACCAACAGCUUCUGUUCGUCCUUUCUUAUUCUUGGUGUAAAAGUCUGGCAUAUAGAACAUUUUGAGAACAAAUGUCCAACACUGAGGCAUGGUAGGCACCAAAUUUGUGCCUCUGAAACUGGAAAUACUAGUGAACAUGAGACUCAUAGUUUAAAGCCUGGUCUUUUUGUCUUCAGGUCCACCAUGACUCUUCUAUCAGUGCCAGAAAUAAACUAAGACUAAAAUAUCAAAUAUAAUUUACAACUAUAAAAUCUAUAUUAACUAACAACCAACUAAUAACUAUUGGCACUAUCUAUAGAAGGGAUAUGGAUUCUUCUUUCCAGAGCAGUAAAUGAUCUGUCAUGGUUAGUGUUUGGAAGGACUGGAGGCAGCUGGAGAACUAUGCCUCCCCCUUUAUCACCAUGCCCCUAGAAUGUUCAGGAACAGAUAGGGAAGAGGGGUUAGGGCUGUGAGAGUAUUCUAAUUGGCACUGAUAGCUAAAUCCACGAUCUAAGCUGCUUGCAGCUGCUGCAUCAUAAGAAUAGGAAUACGCAGACACCACUCAAAGAAGAACAUUAUAAGAAUUAUAAUAAUAUUAAUAAACUAUUUUUGCAUCAAUAUUGAGGUUUAUCCCCCUAAGUGUAACUCCAUCCAUAGAUGAGGAGGACAAAUAUGGUCGAUGUUUAACAGUUAAAUCAGGAGAAAAACUGUAUUGAAUUGAAAUUGCUAAGCAAAUUUAGAUAGAAUAUAUUUUACCUGAACUGUGAUUUGAUAAAGAUACUUUGGCUAAUAUUUCAAUAUUUAUGUAAUGUAUCACAAGAUUUUGAAUGGCCACAUGGAAUCAGGACCUCUGUUUUACAUCUUAUCAUGAACUCGGCCUCUCCAUUCAGCACAUUGCUCAUCCCCUCCUGCACCAUCAAAAUGCUACAGCAUUGAUUUAGAGUAGCAGCCGUGUUAGUCUGUAUUCGC
This is a long non-coding RNA of Dermochelys coriacea (leatherback sea turtle), 2597 nucleotides long. RefSeq lists it as uncharacterized. The transcript is spliced from 3 exons. The record is from RefSeq and is a predicted model, not a curated record. NCBI's taxonomy places the organism in Eukaryota, Metazoa, Chordata, Testudines, Dermochelyidae.